RNA transcript from Tachysurus vachellii, 3299 nucleotides. It is a transcript of the gene named cysteine-rich, acidic integral membrane protein-like, with no coding region annotated. The record is from RefSeq and is a predicted model, not a curated record. Lineage: Eukaryota; Metazoa; Chordata; Actinopteri; Siluriformes; Bagridae. The transcript is spliced from 2 exons.
UAGAGAAUUAUCUACUAAAAGCGUUUAGCAUGGUGAGAGAUAACACUAAUGUCAUGGUGAGAGAUAACACUAAUGUCAUGGUGAGAGAUAACACUAAUGUCAUGGUGACAGAAGAUCUCAGUAAUAUCAUGGUGAUAGAAGAUAACACUAAUGUCAUGGUGAUAGAAGAUAACACUAAUGUCAUGGUGAUAGAAGAUAACACUAAUGUCAUGGUGAAGAUCUCACUAAUGUCAUGGUGACAGAAGAUCUCAGUAAUAUCAUGGUGAUAGAAGAUCUCACUAAUGUCACGGUGACAGAAGAUGACACUAAUGUCAUGGUGAGAGAUAACACUAAUGUCAUGGUGAGAGAUAAUACUAAUGUCAUGGUGACAGAAGAUCUCAGUAAUAUCAUGGUGAUAGAAGAUAACACUAAUGUCAUGGUGAUAGAAGAUAACACUAAUGUCAUGGUGAUAGAAGAUAACACUAAUGUCAUGGUGAUAGAAGAUGACACUAAUGUCAUGGUGAUAGAAGAUCUCACUAAUGUCAUGGUGACAGAACAUCUCACUAAUGUCAUGGUGACAGAACAUCUCACUAAUGUCACGGUGACAGAAGAUCUCAGUAAUGUCACGGUGACAGAAGAUCUCAGUAAUGUCACGGUGACAGAAGAUCUCAGUAAUGUCACGGUGACAGAAGAUCUCAGUAAUGUCACGGUGACAGAAGAUCUCAGUAAUGUCACGGUGACAGAAGAUCUCAGUAAUGUCACGGUGACAGAAGAUCUCAGUAAUGUCACGGUGACAGAAGAUCUCAGUAAUGUCACGGUGACAGAAGAUCUCAGUAAUGUCACGGUGACAGAAGAUCUCAGUAAUGUCACGGUGACAGAAGAUCUCAGUAAUGUCACGGUGACAGAAGAUCUCAGUAAUGUCACGGUGACCGAAGAUCUCACUAAUGUCACGGUGACCGAAGAUGACACUAAUGUCACGGUGACCGAAGAUGACACUAAUGUCACGGUGACCGAAGAUGACACUAAUGUCACGGUGACAGAAGAUGACACUAAUGUCACGGUGACAGAAGAUGACACUAAUGUCACGGUGACAGAAGAUGACACUAAUGUCACGGUGACAGAAGAUGACACUAAUGUCACGGUGACAGAAGAUGACACUAAUGUCACGGUGACAGAAGAUGACACUAAUGUCACGGUGACAGAAGAUGACACUAAUGUCACGGUGACAGAAGAUGACACUAAUGUCACGGUGACAGAAGAUGACACUAAUGUCACGGUGACAGAAGAUGACACUAAUGUCACGGUGACAGAAGAUGACACGAAUGCCACGGUGACAGAAGAUGACACGAAUGCCACGGUGACAGAAGAUGACACGAAUGUCACGGUGACAGAAGAUCUCACUAAUCAUAUCAUGAUGGAUUUGUGCUUGAUGCUGAUGAUGUUUGAGACCAAAGUACUGGUGAUGAAACACACACUGUACCUGUACACACGAGUGGUUUAUACUGUACAGGUAAAAAAGGUCAUGUAAAUACAUCUGAUCUUUAUUUUAACAUCAUGGUAGUUUUACUGACUUACUGAAUAAUGGCAGAUAAACCAGUGGACACAUGAAACUGGAGUGAUUGACAUUUUACUAAGUGACUUGAACUUGCCAACAUUAUAUAAAUAAAAAAAAGCCUUUAUUUGUUGCAUGUACAUUAUAGCAGAGUUUAAAUGUUCUUUACAUUAGUUAUGAGGUCCGAGCACAGACAUGGUGCUUCUGGAGCUUGGUGGCAUUGAGGGCCUUGCUCAAGGCCCCGACACUGGCAUCACAGCCAUGCUGGUGCUCGAACCCUUGGCAUUGUGAUGGUUAGUGCUGACCCGUAAGCACCGAGCUGCUCGUUAACUCACCCCCUGAAAUCCCUGAGCCUUCCUUCACCUCCAUGUUCUCCUUAUAGACAGAUGUGCUGAUGCAGAAACGUGUUAAUGCAUUAAUAUAAAAUCAGUCAGCUACAGUUAGGCACGUGUGUAUUACUAACAUGACACAAGCUGACAUCAGGUACAUAGACUUGUUUAAAAAAUUACAUUUUUUUUUUAUUUGCAGCUGAAAAUGUUUUUACAAAUUAUUAGGACAUUUUAAAAGGGAGGAAUAAAUAUUAAAUAAGGACACAACAAUAUUAAAUCUACAAAUACUUUAAAUGAUGAGUCUCUAAUGGGGGGUUACGUAGUUGGCACUAUGGUUUAUUUCUCUGCAGGUUCAGCGUCUGUCCACUUUGUUUAUGUUCCUCUAACUCUGUAAUCAGUUUGUUGUUAAUAGUCCUGAAGCCUUUUUAGGCAGCAUUUCUCUUUCUACACUGUCAUUUCCUGUGUCUGUGUGUUUCUCCUGCACUCCCCCUUUACCAUAUAAGGUCAUGAGUGUAGAGGAGUGUGCACGCCCCCUUUACCAUAUAAGGUCAUGAGUGUAGAGUAGCGUUCACGCUGCAUUCCUCACAGCUAAACACCACACUACCUACAGGCACUGUGUACACACACACACACACACACACACACACACACACACAUCAGCACUAAUAUUAAAGUAAUAUAAAAUAUUAAAGUAAUAUUAAUAUUAAAAUAAACAACAUGGAUAAGAUUUGCCUUUUUUUAAAUAUUUUUUUAUUACAUUUGUCUAAGGACAAAAAGCUCAGGGUCUUUUGGUUAUAGGGAUAAUGAACAAUGGAGUGGUGACAUGGCCUUAGACAGUUGUUGAUUUUUCUUUAACCACAUACACCUUAUUUGUCUUAUUUAUUUUGUAUGACAGCGGUACCAACACUUAGGUUAUAAAAUUAACUUGUCAGACUUUUUAUCCCUUUAUAGAUACCUUUUUAAUGUGUGUGAAUUAAGUUCUUACUUACUUUAUACCAGAUAUAAUGCAGUCAUUCCCUCACCAGCCUCUCUUUAAUCACCUUACUGUUACAGAAAGAAACACAAGUGAACAAUCCUGACACUGGACUUUAUUAAUGAUCAGGUUAAGUGUAGCAUCGUCUGUACAGGUCUCUGUAAGUGAUGUGUGUGUGUGCAUUUAAAUAACUGAUUUGCAGCUUGACUAAUUCCUAGUUAGACUAAUUCAGCUUGAUUCUGUUUCAGUAAAGUCAUCUCCAAACCCUUUAAUCAGUGUGUUUGCUUUGUAUAAUCCCUGUUGUAAUGCUGUGUCUUUAUUCUCAUCUUCAUGAUUUAAAGUGAUUUUGCUCUGGUCAUGUGAUUGGUUAGUUCAGCCUCUGUUAUGUGAUGCUGUGUGUGUUUAGAGAAAUUAAAUCAUGUUAUGUGCUUACUGUAUGUAGACAAACCUCUGGAUGUUUGUGUGU